RNAcentral lists this long non-coding RNA (423 nucleotides) under Lupinus angustifolius (narrow-leaved blue lupine). RNAcentral's name for it is "long non-coding RNA (LANG_LNC003302)". The record is from RNAcentral. Lineage: Eukaryota; Viridiplantae; Streptophyta; Magnoliopsida; Fabales; Fabaceae.
UCUGUCUAGGAUUAUUGGAAGUGUGUUUGUAACUGAAUUACAUUUAUGAUAGUGAAGAAAAAUCUCUCAUAUCAACUAGGAGGCCUGGAUGUAAUUUGCAAGUGGACCUACAAACGAACUAGGAUAAAAAUCCUCGAGCACGUUUUCUCUUUCCCUAUCUCUUUAAUUUCUGUCUUUACUGCUUUAUGUGUUAAAUUUGCAUUAUGUGAUUAAUUGCUAAUUGUUGUUAAUCUAUUGAUAAUCACGAAUCAAUAUUAAGAUAGUAAAGAUCCAGAUUCAUCACUGUUUUUCGAAGCAAGAAAACUGUUUUUCAAAGAGUAAACAACCAAUAUAAUCGAUUAAGGUACUGACCAUAAUCAAUUAACAGAAUUGUCCUUAAUCGAUUAACCCUGUUGAUAAUCGAUUAACUACAUCAACUUUGUA